GAUUCCCCCAGUAGCGGCGAGCGAACGGGGAGGAGCCCAGAGCCUGAAUCAGCAUGUGUGUUAGUGGAAGCGUCUGGAAAGGCGCGCGAUACAGGGUGACAGCCCCGUACACAAAAGCGCAUGUGCUGUGAGCUCGAUGAGUAGGGCGGGACACGUGGUAUCCUGUCUGAAUAUGGGGGGACCAUCCUCCAAGGCUAAAUACUCCUGACUGACCGAUAGUGAACCAGUACCGUGAGGGAAAGGCGAAAAGAACCCCGGCGAGGGGAGUGAAAAAGAACCUGAAACCGUGUACGUACAAGCAGUGGGAGCACAGGUUUACCUGUGUGACUGCGUACCUUUUGUAUAAUGGGUCAGCGACUUAUAUUCUGUAGCAAGGUUAACCGUAUAGGGGAGCCGGAGGGAAACCGAGUCUUAAUUGGGCGUUAAGUUGCAGGGUAUAGACCCGAAACCCGGUGAUCUAGCCAUGGGCAGGUUGAAGGUUGGGUAACACUAACUGGAGGACCGAACCGACUAAUGUUGAAAAAUUAGCGGAUGACCUGUGGCUGGGGGUGAAAGGCCAAUCAAACCGGGAGAUAGCUGGUUCUCCCCGAAAGCUAUUUAGGUAGCGCCUCGUGAAUUCAUCUCCGGGGGUAGAGCACUGUUUCGGCUAGGGGGCCAUCCCGGCUUACCAACCCGAUGCAAACUGCGAAUACCGGAGAAUGUUAUCACGGGAGACACACGGCGGGUGCUAACGUCCGUCGUGAAGAGGGAAACAACCCAGACCGCCAGCUAAGGUCCCAAAGUCAUGGUUAAGUGGGAAACGAUGUGGGAAGGCCCAGACAGCCAGGAUGUUGGCUUAGAAGCAGCCAUCAUUUAAAGAAAGCGUAAUAGCUCACUGGUCGAGUCGGCCUGCGCGGAAGAUGUAACGGGGCUAAACCAUGCACCGAAGCUGCGGCAGCGACGCUUAUGCGUUGUUGGGUAGGGGAGCG
Molecule: ribosomal RNA, 968 nt
Filed under: Salmonella enterica subsp. enterica serovar Paratyphi B var. L(+) tartrate +
Lineage: Bacteria; Pseudomonadati; Pseudomonadota; Gammaproteobacteria; Enterobacterales; Enterobacteriaceae
Description: partial 23S ribosomal RNA
Rfam family: Bacterial large subunit ribosomal RNA
Source: RNAcentral